AACAGUCCUAAGCGAACAUGC
Molecule: non-coding RNA, 21 nt
Filed under: Arabidopsis thaliana (thale cress)
Lineage: Eukaryota; Viridiplantae; Streptophyta; Magnoliopsida; Brassicales; Brassicaceae
Source: RNAcentral